CGGGGGAGGCCGGAUCAUGGGCUGUGUCCCGGCGCCCAGUGCUGCGGGGCCUGCGCUGUUGGAUUCGCGCUCCCGCCCCGCAGCCCCCU
Molecule: microRNA precursor, 89 nt
Filed under: Canis lupus dingo (dingo)
Lineage: Eukaryota; Metazoa; Chordata; Mammalia; Carnivora; Canidae
Description: mir-8799 microRNA precursor family
Rfam family: mir-8799 microRNA precursor family
Source: Rfam by way of RNAcentral